AUUGCGAGGCAUUAUCAUAUGCCUGGAGAAUGUCAAUGGGCCAUGGUGUUUGUUUAACAGUUGUGAGGUUUAUUCCUGGAGAUGGUAUAGAUCUUGAAGCAGAACAAGCCCCAGUUGGCGAUUCCCGGAGAUCACUGGCAACUCUCGCAAGCAUGGAAAAACAACGGAGGUUGGACGAUGAGUUUGUGAAUGAGUUCAGGCUCAAGUCUGCAGGAGAACAGUUUGUGGUGUACGAGGAGAAGGUGGUGAACAAUGAUGAAGAGCUAAUUACAGCUCUAAAAGGA
This 284-nucleotide unclassified non-coding RNA is filed under the name Hevea brasiliensis (rubber tree). The record is from RNAcentral. Lineage: Eukaryota; Viridiplantae; Streptophyta; Magnoliopsida; Malpighiales; Euphorbiaceae.